GAGUUUCCAUUGUCCGCUCGAAUCUCUGUAUCAGACAAUCUGAAACUCUAGUUUUAGCUCCAAUUGAUCACGAUUGGGAGCUUACUAAUUUACCUAUGUUAGAAGACAAGGGGAUUUCUUCGGAGAUACAAGAACUUUCUCCUCUCUCAUCCUCUAAUACUUCAACGAUGGAGGCUCCAGUGUCGCCACAAGCGCUGUAUCCUGUUCUCGACAAUACUGGUUCUCCUGUUGUAGUUGUACUGCCUUCAUCCUCCUCUCAUGUUACGUUAUCACAGUCACCGCCUGACACUCAACAAGUUGUUGAAAAUCUGGGCCGC
This 317-nucleotide long non-coding RNA is filed under the name Brassica napus (rape). RNAcentral describes it as "long non-coding RNA (BNAP_LNC019509)". Lineage: Eukaryota; Viridiplantae; Streptophyta; Magnoliopsida; Brassicales; Brassicaceae. The record is from RNAcentral.